CUCGGGGCUCGAUCCCAGGUCCCCGGGAUCAUGACCUGAGCCGAAGGCAGACGCUUAACCUACUGGGCCACGCAGACGCCCCUCCGAGGGCAUUUCAUGUGCUCUGCGGGUAUGUAUUUCUCCGUACACUUGUCCGGUAAAGGGACCAUAUCCUGACCGACUAAGAUGCCCGGAGAUGGCCUUUGCCUCUAGGCUGCAACAGCCGGGCGGCUUGCCCCUUAGGCCUUCUCGAGAGCAGCACAUUGGCUUGCAAGCGGGGGUGGAGGGGGGCUUCCCCAGGACUGCACAGGCCGGGCUGGAGGGAGUCUUGAGACCCCGAGUCCCCACUGGCAGAUCCCAGACCAGCUGGGGUCAGCUAGGGUUUCGUCCGAGCCUGUCUAGAGCUAGCGCACUUCACAGAGUCCCCGCCUUCCCUGUUUUCUGCGGACACUGCCGGACGCGGCGCAUGCGCUCCGAGCAAAGCACCGGGCUGGGCGCGGGGCAGAAGCUCUAAAGCGUUCCGCUCGUUCCGCUCGUUAUCACGCAGGGAGAGGCCUGGCGGAGCGAGAUGCCGAGAAAUGGCAAAGUCAGGUCCUCUUACUCUUCAGCGGAGGGAGGCAUUUCCAGGCGUUGUGCUAAGAACGGUGGCCAAAACAGACACGUGGUCUCUGCCCUCAAGGAGCUUAUCUAGAUUAACCACUCAAGUGAAAAUAUAACUAUAAACUGAAAAUGCUGCCUCCCCUCAAAUCUGAAAUCUAAAUGGAUGAAUUUUAAGGGUUACUCACUGUUACUGAAGAAAAUGGAUCGAAAGUGUUACAGUGAUUAAUAAUACGGGAACCCAAAAGCUACUGCAAAAAUAUUUUGUUGGACUACUAACCUUUUCUGUUUAAAUUCCAUUUGAAAUUUCCAUUCUUUCCUGGUAGUAGUUAAUAUUAACAAUUUGAAUAUUUUCUCCCCACCUCCUAUGGGCUUCUUUCAAUUCUUUAGAUGUGCUCCACACUCUCCCCUCCAGGACUUUGAAAAUUGCUACCUACCCUUUACUUUGCCUGGUACACUUUCUCUCCAUUCCUCUCUCUGAGGAAGUGAUAUUUAAUCCACGGCCGACAGAGACCUGACGAUAAGUAGAAGGUAUCCUAACAAAGAGUGAGGAUGGGAGGGGGGUAGCACGGUGAUAAAGAUCCUGAGGUAGAAAAGACUUUGAUGUGUCCCCCAAGUCAAAGAGGGACAGAGUGGACAGAGAAGGAGAGAAUGCUGGGAAUGAGCCUGAAAAGCAGUUUGAGCUGAGAUCACCCAGUGGACUGCAUGUCAUAUUCAUGAUCUAAAUGUAUUCCUGCAAGUGAACUUUCCAAGGUCAAAGGGAAGUAAGGGCUUGGAAGCCAGUUUCACAUUCAGGCUUUACCAUUCAUCAGUUGUGUGACCUGGGGCAAGUUAUUACAAAUAACCAAAGUUGUAAAGGUUUGGAGCUAAUUAGGAAAAAUUUGUGAAAUGACAGGUAUGGUCCCUGAUACAUUAUAGAUACUCUAGAAAUGGUGGUGGUUGUUACUAUUAAAUAAUAGAUAAUAUCCAACAUAUGAAGAAAUUUAUGAAAUCAGUGAAGAACAACAAAUACUCUUUUGUUUGAUAAAUGUAUUUUGUUUAUAAUGGAUACUGGAUCUCUUCUAUUAUUACAAACAGAUUAUUCACUUCCUUCUUGAAUAUUAGUUAUAAUAUUUACAUUUUGUGUUUCUUUGGCACCAAACCUCAUAGUGUAUCAGUGAAAACAAAAAAAAUAUAUAAAAAAAAAUUACUGAGGUUAUGUGUUUCAACCCUUGCAGUAGCAUGUUACAUUUAUUUUUGUCUGGGCUAGGGUUAAUUUUGACCACGUCUACCACUAAAGGGUACUUACUCUAACAGAUCUUAAGGAUUACGGUAUGAUCCUCCACACUGAGAAACACAGCUGAUAAAAGUUUUCAAGUGACUUUGUCUUUUCAUUCUGACAUUUUUCAAUACAUUUGGUUCGUGAGGAAAUAAGUUACUGUACUAAGAUCAAGAGUUCACAGAACUCCUAGCUCAGAAGUUACGUUGCCUUCAUUUUAUGGUUAAAAGAAAUUGUACAAAUCACUUUAAAGCAGACCUGAAAUAACAUGAUGUAAUAAUGGUGUUAAUAAUACACUGACAGUUCUUACCAGCUCGGAUAUGGUUCAGCGAAGCCAACAUUCUCAACAUGAAAGAGGCUGGCACCGUGAUGGUGUUUCUGGUCUCUUCCAGCAUGAGUUCAUUUCGAGUUAUAACCUACGGGGCAAGUGAAACAACCAUGUCAAGAACCAUGAUGUAACUGUACUUUUUCCUUGAAGAUUAGGAGAACAGUAAAAAACUUAGCAGGUCUGAGGAGGAAUUACUUCAUUCUUUAUACACACACUGUGUAUAUUUCCACCAUAAGGCUACUCGAUGCCAGGUAAUUAUUUUAACUUGCCAUUGAGGGAGUGACAUCACAGGACACUACUCUUUCAACUGGCAGAAAGACAAAGGCCAAACUUUGAGGCCACUUAAAACCUUCAAGAAUUCAGUUUAUUUUUCACUUAUGAUUCGUUUCCCAGAGCAGUCUUCCCGUGUCUGCUCAUUCCCUUCCCCUAUGGCAGAGCUGAUACAUGUAGUGACACAGUGGGGUUAAAUGAUUUCCCCAGGGUCACUCAGAUCCCUCGAGAAAAUGUCACCUUGACUGAGGCAAAAGUAAUCUUGAAAAAUAAACUUUUGGAUAAGAGUUACCAAUGACUUGUGUCUUAUGUACCAAGACAGCACUAAAUGAAUAUCCAUAAACACCUAAGGAUCUAGUAUGUAAUCAUGGGCAAAGGGCAAAUGGCAAAGUUCAUGGCAAAGGAAAAAAGGAAGAAAGGAAAGGAUGAGAGGAAGACAAAGGUGCUAAUGUGGUCAACGGCUCCCCAGUGAUUUCAUACAACACAUUUUCAGCCCAGCAGGGCACCCCCAGGGCCCUUUACAAUCUUGCCCCAAGGAGCUGCUUUCUUAUCCACUCACCAACGGUUCACUUACCUUAGGACACCCUGCAAAUUGCCGAUUCUUCAUCUCCAGGGCUCCUUAGCCCCCUGUAUGCCUGGUGAACUCAGUCCAAUUCGUACUUCCUCUGUGAAGACUCCCCCAUCCAUCUACCCCAUUUACAAGCACAACUGCUCUUUUGCAAGGGCUUCCAGGACACUGUGCAUGCCUCUCUACAUUCUGGCUGACUGUUCAGUGUCUGUCUUUCCCACCAGUCUAUAAGCUCUAAAGGGAAGGUUUUUUAAAAUUCAGCACGGUGUCUGACAUACGCCAAGUUCAUAAAUGUCCGUUAGAAAGCAGAUGAGGGAAUUGUGCUGUGAACUGUCAACCUUGGUCUAGAGUACUGGUUUUCUAACUUACUAAUAACAUUUUUUAGCAAUGGACCCUUCUUUUAUGUUUUAAAGAGGGCACAGCAUCAACUUGAGCUGCAGUCACCUACUCAUAGAAGCUUAACUGUUAGUAGCUGACUAAAGCCAUGAACCCUUAUUUUCAUAAGAAAUCUUGUAUGAAAACCCACCAAUAAAAACUCUGCCUAAUGCUGGGGAGGAAAAGCCCAGAAUUCAGCUUUUGUAUCAGCCACCUUCCCCUCUCCCAAUCCCACUAAAAACUGAGAGCUUCACACAGCCCAGUUUGAAAACUGUUGGUUUAAUAAGGAGCUGAAGAAAUCUGAAAAUAUGACAAUAAAGGAAAAGAUUCUCCAAUCAUUUGUUCUGCUACUUAUCUGGCUGCAAUUAUGGAGGCCAGCCAUAGUAAAACUCAUUUUCUUAAAAGGACAGAAGGUUUUUUAAAUGAUUCUUCAUUGUAAUAAGCACAAAAAUAGUCAAUCUGUUUUUCUCAAACUAUAAUAACCUGGUAUUACCAAUAAUCGAUAUUAUAAUUAGCAAAAUAAUAUUUUGAUUUUUAGCUCUCUAGUAUUACAGACAUGUUUUUAUCUUAAUUUUUCUUUUUCUUACAAUUUGACCUCCUUAACUGAAUAAACUUGUUUAUGUUACCAAUUAAUAAUGAGCUGCUUUGAGUAUUUUUAAGAAAGCAUUUCAGGAACAA
Non-coding RNA from Leptonychotes weddellii (Weddell seal), 4053 nucleotides. Lineage: Eukaryota; Metazoa; Chordata; Mammalia; Carnivora; Phocidae. The record is from RefSeq and is a predicted model, not a curated record.